RNAcentral lists this ribosomal RNA (2902 nucleotides) under Escherichia coli. RNAcentral's name for it is "bacterial LSU rRNA". It matches the Rfam family "Bacterial large subunit ribosomal RNA". The record is from RNAcentral. Lineage: Bacteria; Pseudomonadati; Pseudomonadota; Gammaproteobacteria; Enterobacterales; Enterobacteriaceae.
UUAAGCGACUAAGCGUACACGGUGGAUGCCCUGGCAGUCAGAGGCGAUGAAGGACGUGCUAAUCUGCGAUAAGCGUCGGUAAGGUGAUAUGAACCGUUAUAACCGGCGAUUUCCGAAUGGGGAAACCCAGUGUGUUUCGACACACUAUCAUUAACUGAAUCCAUAGGUUAAUGAGGCGAACCGGGGGAACUGAAACAUCUAAGUACCCCGAGGAAAAGAAAUCAACCGAGAUUCCCCCAGUAGCGGCGAGCGAACGGGGAGCAGCCCAGAGCCUGAAUCAGUGUGUGUGUUAGUGGAAGCGUCUGGAAAGGCGCGCGAUACAGGGUGACAGCCCCGUACACAAAAAUGCACAUACUGUGAGCUCGAUGAGUAGGGCGGGACACGUGGUAUCCUGUCUGAAUAUGGGGGGACCAUCCUCCAAGGCUAAAUACUCCUGACUGACCGAUAGUGAACCAGUACCGUGAGGGAAAGGCGAAAAGAACCCCGGCGAGGGGAGUGAAAAAGAACCUGAAACCGUGUACGUACAAGCAGUGGGAGCACGCUUAGGCGUGUGACUGCGUACCUUUUGUAUAAUGGGUCAGCGACUUAUAUUCUGUAGCAAGGUUAACCGAAUAGGGGAGCCGAAGGGAAACCGAGUCUUAACUGGGCGUUAAGUUGCAGGGUAUAGACCCGAAACCCGGUGAUCUAGCCAUGGGCAGGUUGAAGGUUGGGUAACACUAACUGGAGGACCGAACCGACUAAUGUUGAAAAAUUAGCGGAUGACUUGUGGCUGGGGGUGAAAGGCCAAUCAAACCGGGAGAUAGCUGGUUCUCCCCGAAAGCUAUUUAGGUAGCGCCUCGUGAAUUCAUCUCCGGGGGUAGAGCACUGUUUCGGCAAGGGGGUCAUCCCGACUUACCAACCCGAUGCAAACUGCGAAUACCGGAGAAUGUUAUCACGGGAGACACACGGCGGGUGCUAACGUCCGUCGUGAAGAGGGAAACAACCCAGACCGCCAGCUAAGGUCCCAAAGUCAUGGUUAAGUGGGAAACGAUGUGGGAAGGCCCAGACAGCCAGGAUGUUGGCUUAGAAGCAGCCAUCAUUUAAAGAAAGCGUAAUAGCUCACUGGUCGAGUCGGCCUGCGCGGAAGAUGUAACGGGGCUAAACCAUGCACCGAAGCUGCGGCAGCGACGCUUAUGCGUUGUUGGGUAGGGGAGCGUUCUGUAAGCCUGCGAAGGUGUGCUGUGAGGCAUGCUGGAGGUAUCAGAAGUGCGAAUGCUGACAUAAGUAACGAUAAAGCGGGUGAAAAGCCCGCUCGCCGGAAGACCAAGGGUUCCUGUCCAACGUUAAUCGGGGCAGGGUGAGUCGACCCCUAAGGCGAGGCCGAAAGGCGUAGUCGAUGGGAAACAGGUUAAUAUUCCUGUACUUGGUGUUACUGCGAAGGGGGGACGGAGAAGGCUAUGUUGGCCGGGCGACGGUUGUCCCGGUUUAAGCGUGUAGGCUGGUUUUCCAGGCAAAUCCGGAAAAUCAAGGCUGAGGCGUGAUGACGAGGCACUACGGUGCUGAAGCAACAAAUGCCCUGCUUCCAGGAAAAGCCUCUAAGCAUCAGGUAACAUCAAAUCGUACCCCAAACCGACACAGGUGGUCAGGUAGAGAAUACCAAGGCGCUUGAGAGAACUCGGGUGAAGGAACUAGGCAAAAUGGUGCCGUAACUUCGGGAGAAGGCACGCUGAUAUGUAGGUGAAGUCCCUCGCGGAUGGAGCUGAAAUCAGUCGAAGAUACCAGCUGGCUGCAACUGUUUAUUAAAAACACAGCACUGUGCAAACACGAAAGUGGACGUAUACGGUGUGACGCCUGCCCGGUGCCGGAAGGUUAAUUGAUGGGGUCAGCGCAAGCGAAGCUCUUGAUCGAAGCCCCGGUAAACGGCGGCCGUAACUAUAACGGUCCUAAGGUAGCGAAAUUCCUUGUCGGGUAAGUUCCGACCUGCACGAAUGGCGUAAUGAUGGCCAGGCUGUCUCCACCCGAGACUCAGUGAAAUUGAACUCGCUGUGAAGAUGCAGUGUACCCGCGGCAAGACGGAAAGACCCCGUGAACCUUUACUAUAGCUUGACACUGAACAUUGAGCCUUGAUGUGUAGGAUAGGUGGGAGGCUUUGAAGUGUGGACGCCAGUCUGCAUGGAGCCGACCUUGAAAUACCACCCUUUAAUGUUUGAUGUUCUAACGUGGACCCGUAAUCCGGGUUGCGGACAGUGUCUGGUGGGUAGUUUGACUGGGGCGGUCUCCUCCUAAAGAGUAACGGAGGAGCACGAAGGUUGGCUAAUCCUGGUCGGACAUCAGGAGGUUAGUGCAAUGGCAUAAGCCAGCUUGACUGCGAGCGUGACGGCGCGAGCAGGUGCGAAAGCAGGUCAUAGUGAUCCGGUGGUUCUGAAUGGAAGGGCCAUCGCUCAACGGAUAAAAGGUACUCCGGGGAUAACAGGCUGAUACCGCCCAAGAGUUCAUAUCGACGGCGGUGUUUGGCACCUCGAUGUCGGCUCAUCACAUCCUGGGGCUGAAGUAGGUCCCAAGGGUAUGGCUGUUCGCCAUUUAAAGUGGUACGCGAGCUGGGUUUAGAACGUCGUGAGACAGUUCGGUCCCUAUCUGCCGUGGGCGCUGGAGAACUGAGGGGGGCUGCUCCUAGUACGAGAGGACCGGAGUGGACGCAUCACUGGUGUUCGGGUUGUCAUGCCAAUGGCACUGCCCGGUAGCUAAAUGCGGAAGAGAUAAGUGCUGAAAGCAUCUAAGCACGAAACUUGCCCCGAGAUGAGUUCUCCCUGACUCCUUGAGAGUCCUGAAGGAACGUUGAAGACGACGACGUUGAUAGGCCGGGUGUGUAAGCGCAGCGAUGCGUUGAGCUAACCGGUACUAAUGAACCGUGAGGCUUAACCUU